RNAcentral lists this small RNA (810 nucleotides) under Pan troglodytes (chimpanzee). RNAcentral's name for it is "retained intron". Lineage: Eukaryota; Metazoa; Chordata; Mammalia; Primates; Hominidae. The record is from RNAcentral.
UCUGUCCCUCCAUUUCCCCUAGAUGGGAGUAUGGGGGGAUGGAAUGCUCACACACUUCCAACCUAGGGGACCUCUCCCCUCAGCUCUGUCCAUUUAUGCUGCUAAGCAGCUCUCCUGACACCCUGAUGCUCAGAGAAGAGGCAUACAUCUAAGAUGAGAAAGUUUCUGGGAGUGGAUCAUAAAUAAGCAGUGUGCAGGGAGGGGGUGAGGAUGCAGAGACGCCAGAGGGUAGGUGCAGGGUGGGGAUACUUUUGUGAUGCUUCAGCCUUCCUCUAGGUCCGUGUUUAUGAUCCAGCAUCCCCCCAGCGCCGGCCAGUCCUAGAGACCACCUAUGGAGAGUACCCACUAACAGCCAUGACCCUCACUCCGGGAGGCAACUCAGUGAUUGUGGGAAACACUCAUGGGCAGCUGGCAGAAAUUGACCUUCGGCAAGGGUGUCUACUGGGCUGUCUGAAGGGGCUGGCAGGCAGUGUGCGUGGGUUGCAGUGCCACCCUUCAAAGCCUCUACUAGCCUCCUGUGGCUUGGACAGAGUCUUGAGGAUACACAGGAUCCAGAAUCCACGGGGUCUGGAGCAUAAGGUUUAUCUCAAGUCUCAAUUGAACUGCCUCCUCUUGUCAGGCAGGGACAACUGGGAGGAUGAGCCCCAAGAGCCUCAAGAACCCAACAAGGUGCCCCUAGAAGACACAGAGACAGAUGAACUUUGGGCAUCCUUGGAGGCAGCUGCCAAGCGGAAGCUCUCGGGUUUGGAGCAGACCCAAGGAGCUCUCCAAACGAGAUGGAGAAAGAAGAAGCGGCCUGGGUCCACCAGC